RNAcentral lists this ribosomal RNA (423 nucleotides) under Triticum aestivum (bread wheat). RNAcentral's name for it is "partial small subunit ribosomal RNA". The record is from RNAcentral. Lineage: Eukaryota; Viridiplantae; Streptophyta; Magnoliopsida; Poales; Poaceae.
AUGCCACCGUGCCACCGGGGAGUUUCGGGUUACCGCGGCGUCCGCGCGUGCCCGUCCGACGCCUUCUCCGCCGAGAUUCGGUCCGGCGACGUGCGCCUCGGGCUCGACACCUUCGAGGCCGCCCAUGAGGCCGCCCACGCGUACGACGCGGCGGCAUGGCGCCUCCGGCGGCCCCGCCGGGACAUGAACUUCCCAGAGGUGCCGACGUGGGAGAUGGUGCAGGAGAUGGCUCCUCCCCGCGGCUUCUCACCGACGAGGACCGGGAGCGCCGUCUCAGCCUCGCCGAGAUGGACGAGAAAACCAUGGCACUGUGGCGCCAAUGCUUCCCGCAGGACGUCAUCAACGAGCAGUAGUUCUUCGCAAAAAGGAGGAUGGCACUUUAUGAGGGCGUUACCAGUAACCCCCUAUCUUAAUGUACUUUAA